Long non-coding RNA from Oreochromis aureus, 522 nucleotides. The record is from Ensembl. Lineage: Eukaryota; Metazoa; Chordata; Actinopteri; Cichliformes; Cichlidae.
CAAAAUGGAAAAAGUGCUAGUGAACGUCUGUUUUUUCCUCUGCAUCAUUUUCAAAGAGCUGUCUGCCUUAAAGAUUCAAAACAAGCUGCUGGGUAAAUGUCUGCAGGUUACAGAAGGAACUGAAGGAGGUAGAGUGUCACUGGGCGAAUGCAGCCCACACUCACCUUUACAGGAAUGGCGUUGGCACCAAGAGAGCCAGACUGUCAGCAACUACCACACUGGAGAAUGUCUGACUGCACCACAAGAACAAUAUGAAGGUGUUCACCUGCAGCCCUGUGUCUUCAGAACUGCAAGUAGCAAGGAUGGUGAUAGAAAAGAGCCAGGAAGACAGGUAUGGACAUGCUCCAGAAAAGGCCACCUCACUGUGGUUGGGAAGGGGCUCCACCUUACUGCUACAAAAGAAUCCACUUUGGUCUUCCUUUCAAGAGGACAUAAGAAGAAGCAGGGCAGCAGGUGGAGAACACUUGACAGCCAGAUGCUAUGCAAUGGGAAAACCAGGCAACAUAAAAAUAUCAAUCCUCA